Molecule: ribosomal RNA, 253 nt
Filed under: uncultured bacterium
Lineage: Bacteria
Description: partial 16S ribosomal RNA
Rfam family: Bacterial small subunit ribosomal RNA
Source: RNAcentral
UACAGAGGUCUCAAGCGUUGUUCGGAUUCAUUGGGCGUAAAGGGUGCGUAGGCGGCGCGGUAAGUCGGAUGUGAAAUCUUGGAGCUUAACUCCGAAGCUGCAUUCGAUACUGCCGUGCUUGAGGACUGGAGAGGAGACUGGAAUUUACGGUGUAGCGGUGGAAUGCGCAGAUAUCAGGAAGAACACCAACGGCGAAGGCAGCUCGCUGGGACGGUACUGACGCUGAGACGCGAAAGUGUGGGGAGCGAACAGG